This 301-nucleotide ribosomal RNA is filed under the name uncultured bacterium. RNAcentral's name for it is "partial 16S ribosomal RNA". It matches the Rfam family "Bacterial small subunit ribosomal RNA", at positions 509 to 807 of the family's 1533-position model. The record is from RNAcentral.
CAGUCGCCACGGGAAUACGGAGGGUGCAAGCGUUAAUCGGAAUUACUGGGCGUAAAGCGCACGCAGGCGGUCUGACAAGUCAGAUGUGAAAUCCCCGGGCUUAACCUGGGAACUGCAUUUGAAACUGUCAGGCUGGAGUCUUGUAGAGGGGGGUGGAAUUCCAGGUGUAGCGGUGAAAUGCGCAGAGAUCUGGAGGAAUACCGGUGGCGAAGGCGGCCCCCUGGACAAAGACUGACGCUCAGGUGCGAAAGCGUGGGGAGCAAACAGGAUUAGAUACCCGUGUAGUCCCUGUCUCUUAUAC